UGCGUAGGCGGAUUAAUAAGUCAGUGGUGAAAACCUUCAGCUUAACUGGAGAACUGCCAUUGAUACUGUUAGUCUUGAGUACGGUCAAGGUAGGCGGAAUGUGUAAUGUAGCGGUGAAAUGCUUAGAUAUUACACAGAACACCGAUUGCGAAGGCAGCUUACUGGACCAUUACUGACGCUGAUGCACGAAAGCGUGGGGAGCGAACAGGAUUAGAUACCCUGGUAGUCC
This 229-nucleotide ribosomal RNA is filed under the name uncultured bacterium. Its description in RNAcentral is "partial 16S ribosomal RNA". It matches the Rfam family "Bacterial small subunit ribosomal RNA", at positions 568 to 796 of the family's 1533-position model. The record is from RNAcentral.